GCCCAGAUGGUGAAAUUGGUAAACACAAGGGACUUAAAAUCCCUCGAUCAUUUAUGAUCAUGCGGGUUCAAGUCCCGCUCUGGGUA
Molecule: transfer RNA, 86 nt
Filed under: Candidatus Purcelliella pentastirinorum
Lineage: Bacteria; Pseudomonadati; Pseudomonadota; Gammaproteobacteria; Enterobacterales; Enterobacteriaceae
Description: tRNA-Leu
Rfam family: tRNA
About the family: Transfer RNA (tRNA) molecules are approximately 80 nucleotides in length.
Source: RNAcentral